This 261-nucleotide ribosomal RNA is filed under the name uncultured bacterium. Its description in RNAcentral is "partial 16S ribosomal RNA". It matches the Rfam family "Bacterial small subunit ribosomal RNA", at positions 524 to 784 of the family's 1533-position model. The record is from RNAcentral.
UACAGAGGUCUCAAGCGUUUGUUCGGAUUCAUUGGGCGUAAAGGGUGCGUAGGUGGCGCCUAAGUCAGGUGUGAAAUCUCGGGGCUCAACCCCGAAACUGCACUUGAUACUGUGGUGCUUGAGUACUGGAGAGGAGAUUGGAAUUUACGGUGUAGCAGUGAAAUGCGUAGAUAUCGUAAGGAAGACCGUGGCGAAGCGAAUCUCUGGACAGUUACUGACACUGGAGGCACGAAGGCCAGGGAGACAAAGCGGGAUUAGACU